CCUACGGGUUGCACCAGUGGGGAAUACUGGACAAUGGGCGAAAGCCUGAUCCAGCAAUGCCGCGUGUGUGAAGAAGGUCUUCGGAUUGUAAAGCACUUUCGACGGGGACGAUGAUGACGGUAACCGGAGAAGAAGCCCCGGCUAACUUCGUGCCAGCAGCCGCGGUAAUACGAAGGGGGCUAGCGUUGUUCGGAAUUACUGGGCGUAAAGCGCGCGUAGGCGGAUAGAUAAGUCAGAGGUGAAAUCCCGGGGCUCAACCCCGGAAUUGCCUUUGAUACUGUUUAUCUUGAGUGCAGAAGAGGUAAGUGGAAUUCCGAGUGUAGAGGUGAAAUUCGUAGAUAUUCGGAGGAACACCAGUGGCGAAGGCGGCAACCUGGCUCGAUACUGACGCUGAGGCGCGAAAGCGUGGGGAGCAAACAGGAUUAGAUACCCCCGUAGUC
This 440-nucleotide ribosomal RNA is filed under the name uncultured bacterium. RNAcentral's name for it is "bacterial SSU rRNA". It matches the Rfam family "Bacterial small subunit ribosomal RNA", at positions 338 to 795 of the family's 1533-position model. The record is from RNAcentral.